This 370-nucleotide ribosomal RNA is filed under the name uncultured bacterium. RNAcentral describes it as "bacterial SSU rRNA". It matches the Rfam family "Bacterial small subunit ribosomal RNA", at positions 119 to 507 of the family's 1533-position model. The record is from RNAcentral.
GGAUAACCUGCCGUAUACAGGGGGAUAACACUUAGAAAUAGGUGCUAAUACCGCAUAAGCGCACAGCUUUGCAUGAAGCAGUGUGAAAAGCUCCGGCGGUAUACGAUGGAUCCGCGUCUGAUUAGCCAGUUGGCGGGGUAACGGCCCACCAAAGCGACGAUCAGUAGCCGGCCUGAGAGGGCGGACGGCCACAUUGGGACUGAGACACGGCCCAGACUCCUACGGGAGGCAGCAGUGGGGAAUAUUGCACAAUGGGGGAAACCCUGAUGCAGCGACGCCGCGUGAGUGAAGAAGUAAUUCGUUACGUAAAGCUCUAUCAGCAGGGAAGAAAAUGACGGUACCUGACUAAGAAGCCCCGGCUAACUACGUG